This 1243-nucleotide long non-coding RNA is filed under the name Mus musculus (house mouse). Its description in RNAcentral is "Mir99a and Mirlet7c-1 host gene". Lineage: Eukaryota; Metazoa; Chordata; Mammalia; Rodentia; Muridae. The record is from RNAcentral.
GACUGCAGCCUGAGUUCCCCGGAGCAAGGCUGCUUCUCUCCACCCACUCCUCACCAAGAACUCCUGAACUUGAGAGUGGACGACUUCAAAGCUAGCUCUCACAGACUCACCUGGAAAAGAGUUCAGCUGCGCGUUCAUUGAACCGAGAGGCCAGAUCACCUAUGUGAGGCGGUGGGAACCAUAUGGAGAUUUAUAUUAGAACUUCAGCAAAGUGCACAGCUGCAGCCGGCAGAAGCCAGCUCUCGGGCUGACAGGCAAAUGAACCAGAUCGUGGACGGGGCCUCUGGGUGGCAGCUCCGGCCUUUUGGUUGUUGGACAACUAUAGUCAGAACUGAAAUGGAACAGGGGCAGGAGAAAUAACACACUUUUACUCCACGCAACUGUUGCUUUCACAUGAUCUUCAGGAAUGUAACUGGGAUAAUUGUCCAAAUUGAAUCCCAUACCCUGUCAUGGUACUGAUUAUUAAGGUGACUAUAUGAAAGGAUCACUCCAAAAUAACAGGAAUCUUGAGGAACCCAUUAAUGUAAAGCUGCGGCCAGAGUUCCAUGAGGAGGCAGAAUGUUCUAGAUGAUCCCUGUCUCUUCUCCAUUGAGGAAGUCGUUUCUUGCCUCUCUGUAAGCUCAGUUAAUCAUACCAGAAUAGGAGUCCUGUCUUAACUGAGCAAUAUACACUAUGGAGAGAUCCUUCAAAACCCGUCGGGACGAAUAACAGAUGAAUUCAUAAAACUGUUCAUCUCUGUUAUCCUGAAUGGUCACUCAGACAACAUUUUACUCAACUAUAAAGGGGAACACUUAAAGUGCAUAUGAGAAGAGAAGAGAAUGACCACAGGAGAAAAUCAUCUCAGGCCACGAUUUCCUAACCAGAAUCUGUAAGAGAGAUUCCAAGAACUUGGUAAGAGAUAGGAACACAGUGGGGCCUAAACAGAGGACAGUUUCUGUAAUCACUUGUAAUAUCUAUAAUGUUAUACUAGAUGAAUGGAAAUAUGAGCAUUGUUGAAAGGUGUAAUGUUUCAAAGUUUUACAAAUGAAUUUUAUAUUAAAAUAUAAGCUAUAUUGACAAAAUAUGUGAUUAUACUGUAUAUGAAGAGUAAAAUAAAACAAAAGGUACAACAACAUUUUUGUUUUAAGUGGGAUAGAAAGGUGUGUGGUUCAUGCCUCAGAUGGCUAUACAAAUACAAAAAAUUUAGACACCUCUCACAGAAAUAUAAAUGGAGCUAUAAAUAAAUAUGAAAUACUAAAAAAAA